Molecule: long non-coding RNA, 1944 nt
Organism: Mya arenaria
Lineage: Eukaryota; Metazoa; Mollusca; Bivalvia; Myida; Myidae
Exons: 6
Source: RefSeq, a predicted model, not a curated record
GAAUCUCUUCCGCCAAUCAUUAAAAACCUGGGUUUGUCACAUUGUGAUUCUUGUUAACUUUUUAAUUUGAUUGUUUUAUUGCUUUUGACAGGCACAUAUUACAUCGUUAUUGCUUCUAAGCCAAAGCAGCGUAAUAAGUCGAAGGCGCUGUCUUACAACAGCUCUUGUUGUUAGAAUUGUAGGACAAUGCUCCAUACAUUUAGAACCUGGGCGAGAGGUGAGUUAUCAACGCAUGUUUAGUAUAGUAUAGCAUACACCUAGUCUUAUAAAAUUACCAUAUUGCAUGAAAUGCUAUUUCAGGUCCCAGAGGUAACUGCCGGCAUCAUAGACAAUGCGGCCUUCAUACAGGAAUAUAUACCAUUUGAAGUAAAAUAACCAUAUAGUACACAAAAUGCAAUGUAGGGUCACUGAGGUAACAGCCAAGGAUAGCACUGCCCACAACAUUGACAAUGCAGCCUACAUGCAGGAACACGCAGGUGAUGAAGUGUACAUGCAAAUUACAAGAGAUAAGAAACUUGCACAAAGUAAAACGCUUCAACUGACACCUGAGCAUUGGCAUAAUUAUGAUUUACCUAUGAAGUUCAACCAGGUAACAUGUGCACAAGUUGCAGGAUGCAACAAGAUCAGCUGUUCCCAUACUGAUGGCUAUGAAGAACCAGUUCCCCACUGAUGGAGAUAUAUUAUGAAAAUGUUUUUGGUGUUGGCCAGAUUUAGAUACACUGUGUUGUGUUUGGCCAGAAAUGCAGAGUGGUAACACCAGUCACCUAAGCCAAUAUUGCCCUCACAGACAAGAGUGUGAAGUAACAGCCCCUGCAGUUUACAGCAAAGCCCUCAACUGUAGCCCUACAAACUUCAGAUACUGCCGAUGGCAUAGAUGCAGUGAACUUUGCCAGAUUUGCAGCUAUGUUGAAUUGACAUCUCCAGCUGAACUAGAGCCAGGAUUGAUAUCAGACUGCUUGACAGCACGGACCUCUUUCUUGGGUGGAUGGAUUCAGAGAUGACCUACAGAUGCAGCCAUGACUGUUGCACAUGAAUGUUAGAGAUGGUGACUGUAAAAAAAUGAUGAUAGCAGAAAAAUGAAACUAUCUUAAUAUGGUUUUCUGGAAUUAAAUUAGCAGACAAAGUAUUCAUAUUUUUGUGGAAAAAUAAUGUCAUAGCUGAAAUAUGUUUUGCAAAUUCAAAAUGGUAAUGUUUUUCUCAUAUUUUAUGCUGGCAUCACAAAUAUUAUCAUUGGCUCUGUAUACGGUAAUCUCUCACUUCAAAACAUAACUAAUUGGACUAUUUGAAGAUUAAAUCUUCAUUAUUUUUAUUUAAUAUAAAAUGCUAUGCUGGUUUUACUGUCUUAAAUAAUGUUACUUAUUAUGUUUGAAUAGCCUAAAAUAAAGUUUACAAAUUUUGUGUCGUCCCGUUGUGUGUUCUGUAAAAGAAAUGUUUCAAGUCUCUAAAGUCAGUUUCUUAUAUUGCUGCAAAAAGUAGAACUAGAAAUGCCAAUGUGCUGUCUCAUUAGAAGUCAGGUGAUAAACGCCGCAGUAGUAGAAGUAGAGCCAAUCUAUUUCAUAGAAGUUCAAAGGUAAAAUGAGUGCUGAUUGCUGUCACAGAAAUAGUAGUGGUGAUCAGUGUUGCAGUAGUUAAAUGAAAAUCAUUGUUAUUGUAGUUUAAGUGGUGAUCAUUUUCACAGGAAAGGAAGUGGUGAUCAGUGCUGCAAUAGUAGAAGUAGUAGUGCCAAUUUCAUGGUGCUUAAAGGGGUAGUGCUGAUCGCUUCCUCAGCUCAAUGUUGCAGUAGAAGUGCAAAUUGUUUUCAUAUUUUAAGUGGUAGUGCUGAUCACUGUCACAGUAGUAGAAGUGGUGACCCUGCAAUAGCAGAGGAAGUAGUGCCAGUGUCAUAGUAGUUAAAGGAGUAGUGGUGAUCUAGAAGUUGUUAUCAAUGCAGCAGUAGUAGUAGUA